This 32-nucleotide non-coding RNA is filed under the name Mus musculus (house mouse). Lineage: Eukaryota; Metazoa; Chordata; Mammalia; Rodentia; Muridae. The record is from RNAcentral.
UCCCUGCCUGGAGUAACUCCACACCUCUGUCC